AGCUAACGCGUUAAGUAGACCGCCUGGGGAGUACGGUCGCAAGAUUAAAACUCAAAUGAAUUGACGGGGGCCCGCACAAGCGGUGGAGCAUGUGGUUUAAUUCGAUGCAACGCGAAGAACCUUACCUACUCUUGACAUCCAGAGAAGCCAGCGGAGACGCAGGUGUGCCUUCGGGAACUCUGAGACAGGUGCUGCAUGGCUGUCGUCAGCUCGUGUCGUGAG
RNAcentral lists this ribosomal RNA (222 nucleotides) under Vibrio sp. a7s7. RNAcentral describes it as "partial 16S ribosomal RNA". It matches the Rfam family "Bacterial small subunit ribosomal RNA", at positions 850 to 1071 of the family's 1533-position model. RNAcentral also lists the same sequence under 1 other name. Lineage: Bacteria; Pseudomonadati; Pseudomonadota; Gammaproteobacteria; Vibrionales; Vibrionaceae. The record is from RNAcentral.